GGGGAGACCGGCGAACGGGUGAGUAUACGCGAGGAACCCGCCUUGUAGAUCGGAAUAACCAUGGGAAACUGUGGCUAAUGCCGGAUAAUCUCGGAUGACCCCAUGGACGUCUGAGGAAAAGGUCUGCCGCUACGGGAUGGCCUCGCGGCCUAUCAGCUAGUUGGUGAGGGAACGACUCACCAAGGAGACGACGGGUGGCUGGAGUGAGAGCGCCACCACUGGCACUGGGACUGAGACACGGCUCAUACUCCUAGGGGAGGGAGCGAUGGGGAAUCUUGCGCAAAGGGCGAAAGCCUGACCCCCCCACGCCGCUUGCGGGAAGAAGGCCUUCUGUUUGUAAACCGCUUUCAGGAGGGAAAAAGCGAAAGUGACGGUACCUCCAGAAGAAGCCCCGGCCAACUCCGUGCCAGCAGCCCCGGUAAUACGUAGGGGGCAACCGUUCUCCGGAAUUAUUGGGCGUAAAGAGCUCGUAUGCGGCCUUUUAAGUCGCUGGAGAAAUCUCGCGGCUCAACCCCGAAACCUGUGCCCGAUACUGGAGGAUUUGAGGCAGGUAGGGGAAGGUGGAAUUCCUGGUGUAGCGGUGAAAUGCGCAGAUAUCAGGAGGAACACCCGUGGCGAAGGCGGCCUUCUGGGCCUGUUCUGACGCUGAGGAGCGAAAGCGUGGGGAGCAAACAGGAUU
This 679-nucleotide ribosomal RNA is filed under the name uncultured Actinomycetes bacterium. Its description in RNAcentral is "bacterial SSU rRNA". It matches the Rfam family "Bacterial small subunit ribosomal RNA", at positions 88 to 779 of the family's 1533-position model. Lineage: Bacteria; Bacillati; Actinomycetota; Actinomycetes. The record is from RNAcentral.